GCUUCCCCACUCCCCCGGAGGGAAGGCGCAGGGGAAGUGGGGCAGCCGGCAGAGAGGGGGCCUGGGAACACAGGACUUUGUUUCAGUUCCCUCUGCCUCCCCCAGGCCGUGUGGGCAUCUCUUGCCUGCGGGCACAAGGGAUUACUCAGCCACCCGCCCACUGCCCUCCAGGAAGCAGUCAGCAGGGCCUUAAGCCCAAUAGGGCCAAGGGGAGCGUCGGGGGCAUUUCCAGGCAGCAAGACCCACUCUUGCGAGCUCACAGGGAGCAUCGGGCCCUUCUUUGGCCUCCUUCACAGAAUGAGGACUCAGAGGGCUCCGGGUGGGUGGAGACAGAAGCGGUGGGUGAGGGCAGAGCUGAACCUGCUCAUGCCCAUGGAGAGUUGGUGCUGAGUGCCCUGGGGUGUUCUGCAUGUGGGCAAAUGUGCACGCACAUACACGCGCUCCCUGGCUCCACUUUCUCCCGCCCCUCCAGGCUGUUUUGUGAGUGCAGGGUCUUCCCUGGCAGCACCAUGCCUGCCCACAGCCAGCUUCUUCUGCCUCAUCCCAAGGCUGGGGAAGGGGAAGGGAGCCCUAGGCACCCAGGGAAUGGAGGGGCAAGAGGGGAGCCCAGAGUGGGGGUGCAAGAGGACAAAAAGGGGCUCCCAGUUUGGGGUGUCCAAGGGGGCUUUUUGACCCAGAGCACGGUGCUACGGCGUCCAUCCCUCCGCGUCUUGGCUGCUGGACUGGACCAGAAACAGCCAAGCUCUGCCACUGCCCAGGACUGGAUGGAAUCAGGUUUGCCUGUGCCUGUGGGGUCCUUGGGGGCUCUCAGGGAGGGCUGCAAAUGCAUCGGGAGGAGCUGUGUGUAUGUGUGUGUUGGAAUCUGGGUGCAGAGCUGCGAAUAUGACUUCUGGGGGGACCACCGGAGGGACCACAUGAGCUGCAUGGGGGUUGUGGGUACAGAGGGGUGUCAGCUGAACAGUGGUGGGAGGUGCAGUCAUGUGAGCAGUGGAAGAGUUGGGGGCCCAGAGGGGAUGAAGGUAGAAUAAGGCUGGGAUGACUCAGCCCCUGGACCCAGCUCCUGCCCAGGGCUAGCGAGGGUGUAGCCAAGGCUGGGGGCAGCUCCUUGUCUCUGGUUUGAGUUUGUGGGGACUCCUGACAUUUGAGUUGCUGCGACACAGCUCUUCUGUGCCCAUGCCUGACUGGGGGGAGUGGAGGGCUGAGGCUGGAGGAGGAGCAGCUCCCCAGCUGGGUCCAAUUAGGACUCCCACCAAAGCAAAACAGGCAGACACACCCCAGUCCCCACACUCCACCUCCCCUUGCGGGGGGGAGUUGAGGCAGGGUGGGGUGGAAGGUCAGGAGACCUGGAGCUGGUCGGCUCCUCGCAGCACCCCUCCCUGCCCAGCUGACUGCUUCGGGCCAAAUUGCAGCUCAGCAGCUGCCGCCUGGGCCAUCAGCUGACAGCGCCUUCCUUCCCUGACCUCCCCGCCCACCUCGUGCUCGGUGAGAACUGCUCUCUUGGAGGAUGGGUAGGGCAGGAGGUCCCCCACGACCCGUAGUCAGAGGUUGCUUACCCUUGGUGCCCCCAUCUGCCCCUUCUCAACCCUGCCCCUUGUGUCGCCCCCCACCACAGGAACCUCCAGGGAAGGGUGGUCCGAGUCCUUCUCUUGGCAGCCAGGUCAGGAGACUUAGGGAGGACUUACAAGGAAGAGGGCAGCAUCUGGGGACUGGUCCCCCAUGUAGCAGAGAGCGGAGGGGUCCUCCCAGAAUUCAGACCUCCCCUCCAGGCAGGCAGCCAGCCCCGGGAGCGGGGAGAGGCCCCUGGAGCGGGAGAGGGGAGGCGGCUCUGCUGGGGUGGGCACUGGCCUCCCUGCUCUGAACACUGCCCUGACCUUGGGUGCCUGGCCCUAAGAGCUUUCCCAGGUAUUUCUCAGCGACAAGGCCACGUGGACAAGGACAGCUUUUCUUGAAUUUCGCUUUUUCUGGUUAUGUAAGUGAACAUCACAUAAGAAGAAACAAUCAUACUACAGAAGGUUUUUCUUCACCUUUUUGGUAGCCUGUUUAAAAAACAAAACUUUUAUAUGCUUCAUUCAGGACAUAGGCAUGGGCAAAGACUUCAAGACUAAAACACCAAAAGCAAUGGCAACAAAAGCCAAUAUUGACAAAUGGAAUCUAAUUAAGCUAAAGAGCUUCUGCACUGCAAAAGAACCUAUCAUCAGAGUGAACAGGUAACCUACAGAAUGGGAGAAAAUUUUUGCAAUCUAUCCAUCUGACAAAGGGCUAAUAUCCAGAAUCUAUAAUGAACUUAAACAAAUUUACAAGAAAAAAACAAACAACCCCAUCAAAAAGUGGGCAAAGGAUAUGAACAGACACUUCUCAAAAGAAGACAUUUAUGCGGCCAACAAAUAUAUGAAAAAAAGCUCAUCAUCACUGGUCAUUAGAGAAAUGCAAAUCAAAACCACAAUGAGAUACCCUCUCAUGCCAGUUAGAAUGGCGAUCAUUAAAAAGUCAGGAAACAACAGAUGCUGGAGAGGAUGUGGAGAAAUAGGAAUGCUUUUACACUGUUGGUGGGAGUGUAAAUUAGUUCAACCACUGUGGAAGACAGUGGGGUGAUUCCUCAAGGAUUAGAACCAGAAAUACCAUCUGACCCAGCAAUCCCAUUAUCGCGUAUAUACUCAAAGGAUUAUAAAUCAUUCUACUAUAAAGACACAUGCACACGUAUGUCUACUGCAGCACUAUUCACAAUAGUAAAGACUUGGAACCAACCCAAAUGUCCAUCAGUGAUAGACUGGAUAGAGAAAAUGUGGCACAUAUACACCAUGGAAUACUAUGGAGCCAAAAAAAAGGAUGAGUUCAUGUCUUUGCAGGGACAUGGAUGAAGCUGGAAACCAUCACUCUCAACAAACUAACACAGGAACAGAAAACCAAACACCACAUGUUCUCACUCAUAAGUGGGAGUUGAACAAUGAGAACACAGGGAGGGGAACAUCAUACACUGGGGCCUAUUGGUAGGUGGGGGGCUAGGGGAGGGAUAGCAUUAGGAGAAGUACCUAAUGUAGAUGACAGGUUGAUGGAUGCAGCAAACCACCAUGGCACAUGUAUACCUAUGUAACAAACCUGCAUGUUCUGUACAUGUAUACCAGAAUUUAAAACAUUAAAAAAAAAAAAAGAACACAAAA
Homo sapiens (human) is the source of this 3158-nucleotide long non-coding RNA. RefSeq lists it as uncharacterized. The record is from RefSeq and is a predicted model, not a curated record. The transcript is spliced from 2 exons. Lineage: Eukaryota; Metazoa; Chordata; Mammalia; Primates; Hominidae.